RNAcentral lists this long non-coding RNA (440 nucleotides) under Salvia miltiorrhiza (redroot sage). Its description in RNAcentral is "long non-coding RNA (SMIL_LNC003629)". Lineage: Eukaryota; Viridiplantae; Streptophyta; Magnoliopsida; Lamiales; Lamiaceae. The record is from RNAcentral.
AAAAAGAUGGCUUGUUACAGAAUGAAAGUGGAAUUUUUUUUGUCUUACCAAUUUUUGCCAUUCUUUACACUAAUUCAAUUAGGUAAAUUAAUAUAUUUCUUAUACAUUAUACUUAACUCCAUCAAUUAACAUAUGAUUAAGUUUCAAUUUCUAAAUUAACACACCUCGUAUAUGUAUAUCUAAGAAGGCAAUAGAGGAUAAAACAUACAUAAAUUAGCUAUAAAGGAUCCGGGUCGGGUCACAAGUAUAUACCCGUCUCCCCUUGGAUUGUGAAUUCAUCUCUCUCGCACUCUUUUUUGAAAAUAUUUGUAACCGCGCAUUCAAUCAGUUACCUCUCUCUCUCUCUAAGUUGUUGAUAAUGGAUAUGGCUGUGACCAUCGAAGCCAAUCCAUUCACCGUGAUCAUCGACCCCUUCGACACUGUGCCGGAAAUCAAAAUGA